This 301-nucleotide long non-coding RNA is filed under the name Olea europaea subsp. europaea. The record is from RNAcentral. Lineage: Eukaryota; Viridiplantae; Streptophyta; Magnoliopsida; Lamiales; Oleaceae.
UAAAUAUAAAAGAGUACGUAUGGCUAAUGUUCCUAAGCUGAAUGGCCAUGUAGGCCUAGACGCUUUGGAAUGAGCCGUGAUAGCCGAGCUGUGUGUAAGUGGGUUGGUUUAAAAAUUUGAUUUUCCUUUUGUUUGUGUGGUUAACUCUCUCUUUUCAUUCAUUUUCCUCAUUUUCACACGCAAUCUCAAUAUCUCUCUUCAUACUUUCAUACAUGUUUUCAUUUUCUCUGCAGCUGUUCUUUUGCCACCAAAAUCACUAUCUUUUAAUCGUAUCUUCUCUUGCACUAUUGGUACGUUGAUA